This 429-nucleotide ribosomal RNA is filed under the name Acidobacteriota bacterium. RNAcentral describes it as "Acidobacteria bacterium partial 16S ribosomal RNA". It matches the Rfam family "Bacterial small subunit ribosomal RNA", at positions 355 to 776 of the family's 1533-position model. Lineage: Bacteria; Pseudomonadati; Acidobacteriota. The record is from RNAcentral.
UGGGGAAUUUUGGACAAUGGGGGAAACCCUGAUCCAGCCAUCCCGCGUGUGCGAUGAAGGCCUUCGGGUUGUAAAGCACUUUUGGCAGGAAAGAAACGUCAUGGGUUAAUACCCCGUGAAACUGACGGUACCUGCAGAAUAAGCACCGGCUAACUACGUGCCAGCAGCCGCGGUAAUACGUAGGGUGCAAGCGUUAAUCGGAAUUACUGGGCGUAAAGCGUGCGCAGGCGGUUCGGAAAGAAAGAUGUGAAAUCCCAGAGCUCAACUUUGGAACUGCAUUUGUAACUACCGGGUUAGAGUGUGUCAGAGGGAGGUGGAAUUCCGCGUGUAGCAGUGAAAUGCGUAGAUAUGCGGAGGAACACCGAUGGCGAAGGCAGCCUCCUGGGAUAACACUGACGCUCAUGCACGAAAGCGUGGGGAGCAAACAGG